GUUACGGCGGGUGGGGCCGUGAGGGCGCGGCGGACUCGUCGGCGGGUCCCUGAGCGGCACGUCCCGCCCCGGGUGUGCAGAGAGGAGCACGAAGUUUUCCUGUCCCUGCUGGACCCUUCCAGAGCCCAGUGGUGGAGCCUCCGAGGAGAGAUCUCACUGCCCAGCCCAGGGAUGGCAACAGUGACACAGAUCAAUGACAAGGAGGCUUAUCUUGGUGAAUGUGGCAGGUUAAAUCCUACUUCAGACUGCAUCUCUAAAACCUGCAGUGUCUGUUUUCUGGUGUGGUUUUUUGUUUGUUUGUUUUUGUUUUGGGUUUUUUUGGUUCUUUUUUUUUAUAAAAUGGUGCUACUUCCUACAGGUGAUCUUUUUCCUUCCAUGGCAUAAACACAAACAUCAGGAAACAUGUUUCCACUGUGAGAGUGACAAACACUGGCACAGGCUGCCCCAGGAGGCUGUGGAGUCACCAUCCUUGGAGACACUCUCAAAAGCUGGGUGUGGUUGUGGGCAACCAGCUCUUGGUGCCCCUGCCCGUGACCUCUGGAAGGCCCUGCCUCCCUCAACAGUUCUGUGGUUCUGCGAAAUAAUCAGGGAUCAAACCCACCACCUCCAAAUGUACAGCUUAGCCUUCAUUAUGGGCAAGGACAGGAGUCCUCAGUUUGUCUCUAACUUCAGAAAACCUCCCGUGUUUUAUAUUGAACUUACAUGGUUCUUUCUAUAGUUGCUGCCUAACCUCUGUCUUGCUGGUUAGGAACUCCCCUGUGACUGGAAAGAUUGCACAGCAAUCACGUCCUGAGGAUGAGAAAGUUAAAUCUGGGGUUUCAGUGUCUUUGCUGCAGACAUGGAGCUGCUGCAGAACAAAUGGCACUGCCCAGUGCUGCAGUUCUGAGAGUCACCACUUCCACUCCUUUUUUUGUGGAGCUGAUCUGCAGGUGAAGCUGCUCCCAGAUCCAGUGCUUAAAGGUGAAUGCUAGUGUCUGUUCCUGGGUCAUGGUCAGGCAUAUAAAUCCUGAGCUGUUCAAAGCUCUGGCAGGACUGAGGCGUUUCUGAGGAGCUGCACAAGGAGAAGUUCACAUGCCCCAAGACCAAGCAUGCUGCUGGCACAGUCAGGUGCUCCCAAGGUGAGCACAGCAGAGGGGAGUUGCAACUUUGAUUUUUGAUGCCUAAAUUGUAUUAAAACUUCAAUUUUGAUACCCAAAUCCUCAUUUAGAUCUAUCCCAAAGUGGUAAUUCCACCGGGAAGGUCCCUGGGAGGGCUUCGUGGCAGAUUUCUUGUGUUUGGCUCUUGGUGCAGUGAACUGUGAUUUCAAACAUGAAGACCCCUACAAGGAGAGGGAAGGCAGGUUAAUCCACAUCCAUUCUGAGAGGGUUUAAAGCUCUUGUUGGCCAAAAGGGGAGCUUAAAAGGUAUUCAGGAGUCGUCCUGUUUCCCUGCUGACAAAUGCAAUGUGAUGUUUGUGUGAAAACAGCUCUGACACAUGGGCUUGGAAGCACAGCCUGAUUUUGUAUCAGUGCAGUCCUUAAGGAAUAAACCUACUAACCACAACUCAGAAAAACAAGCAAGAUGCUACUGACAAAAAGUUAAGACAGAUUUUUCCAUUAGAAGCUGAAGUUUUAUUACAGGAUAACAGUACAUAAAGCACAUCUAAAAUCGAUGUGUUCAAUGCACUUAAUAAAGGUAAUGUAAUAUUAAAGGUACAGUUUCUAAGUACAAUAUAACAACAUUCAUAUUAGAAUGAAAAUUGGAGUAUUUAAAAGACAACAUUAAAUCUCUUAUUUUUACAGUCAUAUUUACAAAAUGAAUCAAAAUACUUUUUUCGGGACCGAGUAAAAUAACAAACUCGAAUAUAAGCAGGCUAUUGUAGGGGUGAGCUGGAAAGGUCCAUGAGGGGGACAAGUGAAGUGACUGGGUAAAGAUCAUUAGCAAAGGUUUAGUACAAUACCACUUUAGUAUUCCUCUUGAUGGCUUACACUUUAUUGUGGCUAGAAAAGGAAUUUAUACAUACUGUACACAUAACAGACAGCACAUAUUUACAUGUACAGUAUCAUUGCAUUUCAACUUGUGUGUAUUUACAGAAAUCUGAGCGUUUCACUCAGGGAGGUUUUUUAAGUCUGUGUGCUUAAUCUUCAAUCUGAUGUGUGUUUGUAAUCAGCAUUGAUUCUGGCGUUGGUACACUGAAUAUUUAGUAAAGAGGGAGGAGAAAUGUUAA
Pipra filicauda (Wire-tailed manakin) is the source of this 2205-nucleotide long non-coding RNA. RefSeq lists it as uncharacterized. Lineage: Eukaryota; Metazoa; Chordata; Aves; Passeriformes; Pipridae. The record is from RefSeq and is a predicted model, not a curated record. The transcript is spliced from 2 exons.